This 560-nucleotide ribosomal RNA is filed under the name uncultured bacterium. RNAcentral describes it as "bacterial SSU rRNA". It matches the Rfam family "Bacterial small subunit ribosomal RNA", at positions 98 to 689 of the family's 1533-position model. The record is from RNAcentral.
GCGCACGGGUGAGUACACGUGACUAACCUACCUUUGAGUGGGGGAUAACUGAGGGAAACCUUAGGUAAUACCGCAUAAUACCCACGGGUCAAAGAAGCAAUUCGCUUAAAGAGGGGGUCGCGGCCGAUUAGUUAGUUGGCGGGGUAAUGGCCCACCAAGACAGUGAUCGGUAUCCGGCCUGAGAGGGCGCACGGACACACUGGAACUGAAACACGGUCCAGACUCCUACGGGAGGCAGCAGUGGGGAAUUUUGCGCAAUGGGGGAAACCCUGACGCAGCAACGCCGCGUGGAGGAUGAAGUACUUCGGUACGUAAACUCCUUUCGAUCGGGACGAUAAUGACGGUACCGGAAGAAGAAGCCCCGGCUAACUUCGUGCCAGCAGCCGCGGUAAUACGAGGGGGGCAAGCGUUGUUCGGAAUUAUUGGGCGUAAAGGGUGCGUAGGCGGUGCAGUGUGUUUGGUGUGAAAUCUCCCGGCUUAACCGGGGAGGGGCCAUCGAAAGCUGUGUGCUUCGGGUUUGGGAAGAGGGGAGUGGAAUUCCCGGUGUAGCGGUGAAAUGC